Molecule: ribosomal RNA, 437 nt
Filed under: uncultured Clostridium sp.
Lineage: Bacteria; Bacillati; Bacillota; Clostridia; Eubacteriales; Clostridiaceae
Description: partial 16S ribosomal RNA
Rfam family: Bacterial small subunit ribosomal RNA
Source: RNAcentral
ACGGAAGGCAGCAGUGGGGAAUAUUGGGCAAUGGGCGAAAGCCUGACCCAGCAACGCCGCGUGAAGGAAGAAGGUCCUCGGAUUGUAAACUUCUUUUAUCAGGGACGAAGAAAGUGACGGUACCUGAUGAAUAAGCCACGGCUAACUACGUGCCAGCAGCCGCGGUAAUACGUAGGUGGCGAGCGUUAUCCGGAUUUACUGGGUGUAAAGGGCGUGUAGGCGGAGCUGCAAGUCAGAUGUGAAAUCCCGGGGCUCAACCCCGGAACUGCAUUUGAAACUGUAGCCCUUGAGUAUCGGAGAGGCAAGCGGAAUUCCUAGUGUAGCGGUGAAAUGCGUAGAUAUUAGGAGGAACACCAGUGGCGAAGGCGGCUUGCUGGACGACAACUGACGCUGAGGCGCGAAAGCGUGGGGAGCAAACAGGAUUAGAUACCCUGGUA